Callithrix jacchus (white-tufted-ear marmoset) is the source of this 274-nucleotide unclassified non-coding RNA. It matches the Rfam family "Metazoan signal recognition particle RNA". Rfam says of the family: The signal recognition particle (SRP) is a universally conserved ribonucleoprotein. The record is from Ensembl. NCBI's taxonomy places the organism in Eukaryota, Metazoa, Chordata, Mammalia, Primates, Cebidae.
GCUGGGCACAGUGGCUAGUGCCUGUAGUCCCAGCUACUAGGGAGGCUGAGGUGGGAGGAUCUCUUGAGCCCAGGAGUUCUGGGCUGUAGUGCCCUUUGGCAUCAAUAUGAUGAGCUUCUGGGAGUGGGGGACCACCAGGUUGCCUAAGGAGGGGUGAACCAGCCCAGGUUGGAAAUGGAGCAGGUCAAAACUCCCAUGCUGAUCAGUAGUGGGAUUGCGCCUGUGAAUAGCCACUGCACUCCAGCCUGGGCAACAUAGUGAGACCCCAUCUCUA